Non-coding RNA from Schizosaccharomyces pombe (fission yeast), 287 nucleotides. NCBI's taxonomy places the organism in Eukaryota, Fungi, Ascomycota, Schizosaccharomycetes, Schizosaccharomycetales, Schizosaccharomycetaceae. The record is from the annotation of a GenBank genome assembly.
UGAUAUUUUGCCAACAAAGAAGAUAAAGUUUUCACAUCAGCGCCGACGAUUCUGUCCAAUUCUUGACCCUUACGAAACAAUACCAUGGUAGGCAAGGCAUAAACACCGUUCUUUUGAGCAAUAUCAGAAAAUUUAUCUGCAUUAACAGCAAUAAAAGAUGCUUUCUGAUUUUGUUCGCUUAAUUUUUCAAGAAACGGUUUGAGGUAUUUGCAAGGACCGCACCAGUCUGCAUAGAAAUCAACGACGGUAACUUUGUCAGCACUAGUAGCAAUUAGCAAGGAGAUCUA